This 550-nucleotide ribosomal RNA is filed under the name uncultured bacterium. RNAcentral describes it as "bacterial SSU rRNA". It matches the Rfam family "Bacterial small subunit ribosomal RNA", at positions 125 to 709 of the family's 1533-position model. The record is from RNAcentral.
CGUGCCCUUCUCUAAGGAAUAGCCACUGGAAACGGUGAGUAAUACCUUAUACGCCCUUCGGGGGAAAGAUUUAUCGGAGAAGGAUCGGCCCGCGUUAGAUUAGAUAGUUGGUGGGGUAACGGCCUACCAAGUCUACGAUCUAUAGCUGGUUUUAGAGGAUGAUCAGCAACACUGGGACUGAGACACGGCCCAGACUCCUACGGGAGGCAGCAGUGGGGAAUCUUGGACAAUGGGGGCAACCCUGAUCCAGCCAUGCCGCGUGAGUGAUGAAGACCUUAGGGUCGUAAAGCUCUUUCGCCUGUGAUGAUAAUGACAGUAGCAGGUAAAGAAACCCCGGCUAACUCCGUGCCAGCAGCCGCGGUAAUACGGAGGGGGUUAGCGUUGUUCGGAAUUACUGGGCGUAAAGCGCGCGUAGGCGGACCAGAAAGUUGGGGGUGAAAUCCCGGGGCUCAACCCCGGAACUGCCUCCAAAACUCCUGGUCUUGAGUUCGAGAGAGGUGAGUGGAAUUCCGAGUGUAGAGGUGAAAUUCGUAGAUAUUCGGAGGAACAC